RNAcentral lists this ribosomal RNA (410 nucleotides) under uncultured bacterium. RNAcentral describes it as "bacterial SSU rRNA". It matches the Rfam family "Bacterial small subunit ribosomal RNA", at positions 917 to 1333 of the family's 1533-position model. The record is from RNAcentral.
GGGCCCGCACAAGCGGUGGAGCAUGUGGUUUAAUUCGAUGAUACGCGAGGAACCUUACCAGGGCUUAAAUGCAGAACGACCGGGGUGGAAACACCCCUUCUUCGGCGGUCUGCAAGGUGCUGCAUGGUUGUCGUCAGCUCGUGCUGUGAAGUGUCGGGUUAAGUCCCAUAACGAGCGCAACCCCUAUUUCUAGUUGCCAGCGGUUCGGCCGGGGACUCUAGAGAAACUGCCAGCGUAAGCUGUGAGGAAGGUGGGGAUGACGUCAAAUCAUCACGGCCCUUACGUCCUGGGCCACACACGUGCUACAAUGGUGGGGACAACAAGUUGCCAACCCGCGAGGGUGAGCUAAUCUUCAAACCCCAUCUCAGUUCGGAUCGGAGUCUGCAACUCGACUCCGUGAAGUUGGAAUC